AUCAACACGAAAAGUCACUAGGAUGGCUACCCACUCAUCGGUGACUUGCUCAAAGUUACAAUGGUGUAGAUAGUUCUUUGACCUGUGGUGCCUCGACUGUUCACAGUGGAGUUAUCGUAGUUUAACUACACCAUAAUUUGAUUAUCUAGCCAUACAGAAUAUUGAGGUGUAUGUUAGCUACAGUAGGUCCAUUGUAGGAAUAGGGUGUGCACCA
This 214-nucleotide long non-coding RNA is filed under the name Elaeis guineensis (African oil palm). RNAcentral's name for it is "long non-coding RNA (EGUI_LNC039395)". Lineage: Eukaryota; Viridiplantae; Streptophyta; Magnoliopsida; Arecales; Arecaceae. The record is from RNAcentral.